This is a long non-coding RNA of Salvelinus fontinalis (brook trout), 5297 nucleotides long. RefSeq lists it as uncharacterized. The record is from RefSeq and is a predicted model, not a curated record. NCBI's taxonomy places the organism in Eukaryota, Metazoa, Chordata, Actinopteri, Salmoniformes, Salmonidae. The transcript is spliced from 10 exons.
AAGAGACAUCUAACCGACGUUCUAUGGAACGUUUUCUGUGCGAAAACAACUUCAGUUUGCUGCUGACAACAAACUUGAUUGAUUUUUGACACCUGAGAAAGAAUAUCGACUGGAAAAUGCCUGGGUGCUUUUCAAAAUUGGCGGAGAGAGUGCGUGGACGUCGGCGGCCUACUGCGUCGACAGGUUGUUCAAAUUCAUUGGUGGCUUGUUUUUCUUGUCUUUUUCUGUUUUGCAGGGUUCAUGAUUGUCGACAGGUGGACAGCGACAGCGACUUCGAAGAGGAAACAACUGUCCUGGAUGAGGUCCAGUUGGAUGUGCCAUUGGAUGAUGUGCCAGAUGUUCCACAGCUGCCAGUCCUCCUUGGUGUCCAGAAUGCUGCUAUCAUCCUUGAGGAUGUGCCAGAUGUGCAGACUAUCCUUGAGGAGGCCACUGGCAAUUGGCAGUUGAUUCCGAUUAGGUUCAGCCCCCUGUACUGUGGGCCUGUUGUGAUCAGGGUAAGAGACCCCCCCCCCACACACACACAGUCACAUCACGGUUACAAUGUUUACUGUUUCCAACAUGAAUGUAUUGUAAUGUGCAGAACAAUGCCGGUCCGGUGGUUAAAGCCAAUUACACACCUGGCUUAAGGGAUACUGCUGCACGAUGAGAAUUCCUUUUGUGGAUAACUUUGUAGCUUUUACAGACCGACCAGGUCUAUUUCUUCGGGACAAUUUACAUCUUAACAGGUAUGGCUCCAGCAUCCUCUCCAUCAACAUGUCUCUUACUCUUGCCUCAUGUAGAGCCUUUGAUACCUGACGUUGUGUAUUCUCGGGGGUUGACUUUUGGGAUUGUACGCUCCCCUAUCAGACUAUGUUCAAUGCUCCUCUCCCAGUUUCAUUAAUUAGUUCCUCAAUUGCAAAUAUGGAACCAACUACAGUUAACAACCCUUCUGCAAUUCCUAGUUUAUUGUCCAAUCACCGUAUUGCGAAUACUACUCACAUGCAGAGAGGUAUUGUUAGUAGUAAUCUUGUCCCCAUAAAAUUGAGCUCUGUCAAUAGCUCGAAAAUGGUUUAUUGCUCAUCUAGUGCAGCUUCAGGUGCUACCUUGGAUACUCCAUCUGAUAUGAAUUCCCGUAGCAAUGGUAUUGGAAUAAUUCAUUUGAAUGCUAGAAGCCUGAUCCAAAAGUUGGACUUUAUUGAAAUUUUGGUCUCACAAUCAAAUGUUGACGUUCUGAUUGUAUCUGAAUCGUGGCUGUGUGAUUCUGUGCCAGAUUCAGAUGUUCAGUUGAUUGGAUACAAUAUUUAUAGAACUGAUAGAGUUGGUAGAGGUGGUGGUAUUGCGAUUUAUGUUAAAUGCUGCUUAAAUGUUUCUGUGUCCAUAUCAACCUCUGUCUCAAAGCAAUAUGAAUGUCUAGUUUUAAAUGUGGUACUUGGUAAUAAUGCUCAUUUAACUCUAGCAGGGGUAUAUCGCCCCCCCUCAGCUCCUCCUUGUACUCUAUGCAAUUUAUCUGAUAUACUGUCUAAUUAUGCAAACUCUGAAUAACUGAUUUUGGGAGAUUUUAACCUGGAUUGGCUCUCACCAGUAUCCGAUAAAUUAAAAGGCAUUUGUACUGAGCUAAAUCUAACUCAGCUGAUAACUAAACCAACCCGUCCCAACUUUAAGAACCCAGUACAAUCCACUCUACUAGACAUUAUUCUAACAAAUACCCCCCAUAAAUACACAGCCAGUGGGGUUUUUGCAAAUGAUAUCAGUGACCACUGCCCUAUUGCUUGUAUUAGAGAUACCAGGCUGAAACACUCUGAUCCCUGUAUAAUCUCUAAGAGAAAUUAUAAACAUUUCUCACAGCAAGCUUUUAUCCUUGACUUAUAUCACUCUGAGCUUUUAUCCACUUGCUGCUUUCUGGACCCGGUUUUAGCCCUUGCUUUUUUCUCUUCUAUUGUUACCUCUAUGUCUGAUAAACAUGCCCCGCUUAAGAAUCACAGAGUAAGAAACCGAACCAGUUCUUGGUUCUCUCCUGAAUUGUCAGGUCUUUUCCUGCAAAAGAAUCGGGCCUGGGCCUUGGCGAGGAAAACAGGUACUCCAGCUGAUUGGAUGUUUUUUAGGCAAUUGAGAAAUUAAUGUACUGCAGCUGUCAAAAAGGCAAAAUCAAAUUACUUCCUUAAUGCUAUGACAGAUUCUGCAGGAGAUCCUGCAAAAUUCUGGAAAACCGUUAAUUCACUGAAACGGGGGAAUUCUGCUGUUUCUCUUCCUAAGCAAAUUACCUCAGACUUCUGUAUUCUAACUGAAAAAAAUGAUAUUUGUGAUGCUUUUAAUAAGCAUUUCAUCUCUGCUGGUUUUUUAUUUGAAAGGAAAAGUGGACUUUGUGGUACUGGCCAGUUAGUUGAUUUUUCGUCUUGCUUUUCAACCGUUACUCUGAAAAAUGGUAACCCUGUUUUUAGUUUCCAGAAAAUAACUGAAGCAGAGGUUCUAAUUGCCCUGUGUGCCAUUGAUACUAAGAAAUCCUUAGGCGCUGACAAUUUAGACCCGUACUUACUUAAGUGUGCUGCACCUAUUUUUGCUGGUCCAGUAACACACAUUUUUAAUCUAACAUUAAGCACAGGAAAUAUCCCUAAGGUGUGGAAAGCAGCUUUUGUUCUGCCAUUACAUAAGGGAGGUGACGGUAGUGAUUUGGAUAACUAUCGACCCAUCUCUAGGCUCCCUUGUCUGGUAAAGAUUCUAGAAUCUAUAGUCAACAAACAGUUACAAUCUUUUCUUUCUGCUAACAGUAUUCUUAGUACCAAUCAAUCUGGUUUUAGAUCUAAACACAGUACCACAUCGGCCACUAUGCUUGUUGUAAAUGAUAUAGCAAAUGCCUUAGACGAUAGAAAGCACUGUGCUGCGUUGUUUGUAGAUUUGUCAAAAGCUUUUGACACUGUAGACCAUGCUAUCCUUUUGAGUAAGCUGUCAUCUAUAGGACUGGGCACUGAUGCCUGCCGAUGGUUUUAUGACUAUCUUAAAGAUAGAACUCAAGCCGUCAUGGUCGAUGGGGUCAAGUCUGACCCCUUAGAGUUACUUAAAGGGGUCCCUCAGGGUUCAAUAAUUGGCCCACUAUUGUUCUCACUUUAUAUAAACAACAUUGGUGAUGAUGUCAGAUACUGUAAAUUCCAUUUAUAUGCAGAUGACACAGUUAUGUACUCUAUUGCUCCAACAGCGGACCAAGCUUUAAUGCAGUUGGAGUCUGAUUUUAGGAUACUACAGGGGUCUCUUUUACAGCUUAAACUUGUUUUAAACGCUAAGAAAACAAAUGUCAUGUUUUUUUCUAGGUCUAAACUCCCAGUUAGAAACACGUUUGUAAUCACUAGCUUGGAUGGUACUCAUAUCAAUAAGGUCUCUGCAUAUAAAUACUUAGGGGUAUGGUUAGAUGAUAGGCUUUCUUUUAAAAAACAUGUUACUGAAUUGGGAAAAAAGCUCAAAUUCAAGAUAGGAUUCCUUUACAGAAACAGGGCUUGUCUAUCCUCUGUAAAUAGGAAAAAAAUUGUGCAGGCUACUUUUAUGUCCGUUUUACAUUAUGGUGAUAUUAUCUAUAUGCAUGCAUCGGCAAACACAUUAAAUCCACUGGAUGCUAUUUACCAUUGUGCACUCAGGUUUAUCACGGGUGAUAGUUACAGAACUCAUCACUGUAUCCUAUAUCAACAUGUGGGUUGGGUCUCUCUAUCUGUGAGGCGAGAGCAACAUGCUCUCUUGUUUAUUUAUAAAGCACUUCUUUUAAAACUACCUCCAUAUAUAUCAUCAUUAAUUUCCACAAGAUGUACUAAUUUUAAAACCAGAUCACAGAUGUGGAUUACAUUAGAGACUCCUGCGGUCUCCACAGAGUUGGGUAGGACUGCCUUCAGUUCCUUUGCACCUUAUUUAUGGAACAAACUGCAGAUCCAACUUAAGUUAGACACUCUGGUGUCCCUUGCCCAUUUUAAAAUGUUUAUGGAGGAUCAAUAUGAUGUUGUCUGUGAUUGUUUCUGUUGAAUUGUGUAUGUUUUGAAAUGUUCUUGUCUGUAUGUCUAAAACUGUACAUGUCAACAUGUUUACACAGGGCACAGCCGUAAAAGAGAUCUAGGUCUCAGUCUGUUUUCCCUGUUAAAAUAAAGAUUUAAUAAAAAAAUAAAAAAAAGCGUGGAGAACUUUCCAGUUCAUCAGCCCCAUCAUCACCUACAUGCGUGGGGGAUCCCAGCAGGUGGUGGUGAGGAUGCACCACGUGAGUAGGGUGAGAGGCCUGGAGACUCAACUGGUGUGGGCCAUCUCCAAGGAGACAGCCAGGCUUAGUCCAGAGGGGAUCCCCUACUGUGCCAUCAAAGUGCAGUCCAUCACUUGGAUCCAGCGUGUGGCUGGCAGGGUGACCCACUAUGCGUCUCACCUUCGCCACGAGACAUCUGUGGACGUGACGCUUGGCUGCUACCAGCAGACUGAUGUCUCAGUGGUGUACGCCACUCUCCACAUGGGGCUGGACGGGCUUCUCUCCUCUUCAGCGUGGUCGGAGGCUGCCUCCUUCUCUACGCCCACCACUCAGCAGUUCACUGUUCACUGCUUGUCAGAUGCUGGAGGAUAGUGGUCAUAAUGCUGUUAUCCCCCAUUGACUCUAAUGGUUGACAUGCUCCAUUCCCUCCCUUUCACAGCCUCUACCUUAUCACCAAGAGAGUGGAGGACAUCGCCCUGAGGCUCGUCUCCCUGCGCCAGGCCUUCACUACCCUGCUUGGUUCCACCCUGAGCAGGAACCGUCUGUUUGUGGCGGGAAAGGUCCUCCUGGGCGCACUGGUUCGGGCCAACCAUAUGGACGAGGCCAAGUUCAUCCGUACCUAUAAGGACUUUGUGGACUACCUGAGUGACCCCUCCAAGCGGAAUGACAUUGAGAGGGAGCUGGCUGAGGCAAAGGGGAGUUCAUUAACUCUUUCAAGUCUCACUGAGUUCUUCCACAUGCAUGUCUUUUAUACAUCACAGUAGCUGAUCUAUAUGAAAUCAUUCCUAUUUUCUCCAAAUGUGUUUUCUUGUCCUAGAUCCAUCAUGUGAACAUGAUAGAUGUCCUCUUUGAGCUGGUGCUGUUUGGGUUAAUGACAGCUCAGAAGUCCCUGAUGGUGCACCCUGGUGGGUUCGUGGAGCGUCUGUACGCUCUCCUGUACUCCUUCCUGCCCACUGCUGCCAACAUGGAGCCAGAGGCUGACAGAUACCUGCUGCUGCUCAAUGAUUCUUGUGACACUUUGCCACCCAACAGGGAUCUAGACACCAAUGCACUACAUUACUUUGCACUGAAUUUGACAUUUUUAAAUAAAACAAGUUGUAGUUCAAAAACA